Molecule: ribosomal RNA, 311 nt
Filed under: uncultured Clostridium sp.
Lineage: Bacteria; Bacillati; Bacillota; Clostridia; Eubacteriales; Clostridiaceae
Description: bacterial SSU rRNA
Rfam family: Bacterial small subunit ribosomal RNA
Source: RNAcentral
GCGGCGUGCCUAACACAUGCAAGUCGAGCGAUCUUCUUCGGAAGAGAGCGGCGGACGGGUGAGUAACGCGUGGGUAACCUGCCCUGUACACACGGAUAACAUACCGAAAGGUAUGCUAAUACGAGAUAAUAUACUUUUAUCGCAUGGUAGAAGUAUCAAAGCUCCGGCGGUACAGGAUGGACCCGCGUCUGAUUAGCUAGUUGGUGAGGUAACGGCUCACCAAGGCGACGAUCAGUAGCCGACCUGAGAGGGUGAUCGGCCACAUUGGAACUGAGACACGGUCCAAACUCCUACGGGAGGCAGCAGAAGGG